Non-coding RNA from Myotis lucifugus (little brown bat), 75 nucleotides. NCBI's taxonomy places the organism in Eukaryota, Metazoa, Chordata, Mammalia, Chiroptera, Vespertilionidae. The record is from Rfam.
GGCAGUUCUUGGGUGACACACCCCGGAAUCGGGCUCCCUCCUCUCUGGUUCUGGGUGCAUCACUCGAGAACCGCA